This 5783-nucleotide long non-coding RNA is filed under the name Homo sapiens (human). RNAcentral describes it as "HSALNT0073159". Lineage: Eukaryota; Metazoa; Chordata; Mammalia; Primates; Hominidae. The record is from RNAcentral.
GUCAACAUUAUUUAUUGAUUGACUGCAGGCCUCAUUAUAUUCCAUUGGAUGGCUUUACAAAUGUCACCAUCAUGAACAUCUCACAUUAGUUCUUAUACCAUAAGGGAAAUGACCUGACAAAAAUGUGGAAUCCCAAAAGGUGCCUCAGCCAUCAAUGGGUGAAGAAAGAAAUCUUUCCUCCCCUAUAGUUUCUGGUACCCAUUGAAGGACAGCUGAGACACCCGACUUACUCUGGAGCUAGCAGAUGAAACCCUGGGACAACUGACAAAAGCCAGCAAAAGAUAAGGAUUCUUAUCAAGGAAGAAGUUGUACUCUGAAGUUUCCUUAUCUGCCUAAAAUCUGGACACACCAAAGAAGAAAACAAUCACCCCUGAUCCCUUCCCUGAGUUUUCAUUAACUCAACUCAUAUUGCAGGAAGAAAGACUGAAGUCCUUCAACGCACCUGAGAAGACUUUUGUCACAAACCAUUGUCUGCUUGGUGGGCUCAACAGACUUUGUCCCGGGCCAUUGUAUGUUUUUCAAGCUCAUUGAAUCCUCUUAAAAAUCAUUUACUAGCCCCCUAAAAUCACCCACAUUUCCCCAUCUCCCUUUCUUUUAAGAAGAAGGGUACAUAACCAUCUGUACCUUCUUGUGUGGUGUGGUAAUCACUCUGUGAUUUCUUCCAUGCAUGUUAGUAAAUGUGCAUGCCUUUUCUUCUACUAACCUGCCUUUUGUUAGUUGAGUUUCAGCAAACCUUCAGAGGUUAAAGGGGAAGUUUUCCCUUGGUCUCUACAGCUUUGGCAUCAUGAACAGGAUAACCAGUCACUCUGCUCUUCUGGAAGCUGCAGUCAAGGAAACUCAGGAUGUGACAAACUGGCAGAAGGGAAAUAAAUUCUUACCAGCUGGACUCUCAGCCUCUAUUUCUGCAGAAUCCAGUUGAGUGGAUGCUAAAAAUCAGUUUGUCUCUUUUUCCCCUCCAAAAUAUUGGUGUAAUGGGAUAAAAAGAUUUAGGUGACAAGUCUUGGGUGUAGUGUCUCUGGUGUACUUUUUGGUAUGAAUAUUCAUGUUGUUUGAUCCCUUUCCUUCCAGAAAUAGUCUUUGUUUUUGAUUGUUUGUUUGUUGUUCUGUCACAAAGAGGGGUACCAUGGGUAGAACAUAGGUCUCAUAUCUCUAUUAGCUGGUUGUUUUAGCAGGAUGUGCGGACUGGUAAGUUUUGUGGUUCUGAUCACAACAGCAUCUAUUUAGAUAAACUUUCCUGUAGGUCUCCCAAAUAAAAACUGUAUGAGGUUCCCCUCUCAUCUUGUUUCAUGUCUUUGAGAGCUUUAUUUAAGAUCUAGUAGCAACAGUCUCUCUUGGUCUCUGCCAUCUAGGAGGCAUGAUUUUUGGGUCAUAUCCAGUGAUCAGUUGGAAAAUGUUGGAAACCCCUGAGAUUUUAAGCAGUACACUUCUUGUUCCAAGCAUGUCAAGCUGGCGUAAGGGGCUUUUGUUGUCUCAAUCAUUUGUUGCCUGGUUAGUCUUGGGAAAGUACAAUCCCAGGAGGGCCUACCUAGAGUCAUGGAUUAAUGGGUCUGUGAAUGGCAGCUUUCUACAGAUUUGUGGAACACUGAAGGUACUGUACACAGAAACACCAUCCUAAACUGUCUGUGGCAACACGAGUCAUUUUCUAUCCUGGCCUAUACCUGGGAGUGAAUUUUUUUGGAUCAUGGAGACUGCCUCUUUCAUGUCCUCUCCAGAAAAGAAAAACACUUAUUUUAAACCUGAAAAAUUACUUCCUGGGAUUUCCUUAAAGAAGCUUAAUUGGACUGAGUUGCUAUUGGAAUAAGCACACCAUAAGAAAUUCUAGUCAUUAGUGGCCAAAAGAUGGAUUCUUUAAAUUAGAAAGACCCUGAAAUUUAAAAAAAAGUUUUCAGAGCUCCUCAUUCUAAACAGUUGCCUUGUGGGAAGAUCAGAUUAAAAGAAAGACACAUAAUAGUGUCAUAGGAAGCCUUAAAAAUUAUCUUGAUGAAAUUAAAAAACAAAAAUUUGACCUAAAGCAAAGUUAAAAUUAUUUGUAACCUCAAACUGCCUGAUUUGGACCCCUGUGAAAUUUACAGUGAUGGCUUCUUUACCUUGUAGUCUAGUAGUUAAAAUUCUAUGAUUUCACUCUAACAACCUUAGGUUUGAUGCUUGGUUAGAUAACCAGUCCCUUUUAGUUUGAUACUUGCGUGAAGCUUAACUUUGGGGGUACCCAUUUGUUAUCCAUUCUUUUCCCUUCUAUGGACAAGUGUUGAUUUUCUGCCUUCUUCCAUCUGUGGGGACAUCUGGGCUUUUGGACUUUUGUCUAUAGAUGGUCAGCUGAGAAGCUGAGAGCCUAGAGUAUAUGGAGACAGAUAUGGGUUGUACCCCAUUUGUAGCUAAUGAACCUUUCCUUUCUUUCAGCUGUCUUUGGCGUAGUUUUGGAUUUUGUGAGGUCUGCUUUGCACCUCUUUGGAGAUGACCUGUGUGUCCUUGGUUAAGUCAUAAUUUUGGUUAAGCUCUAUUCAUUCUGGUGAGUUACUUGGAGGGUACUUUUGGUUAAAAACAAAAACAAAAAAAGCUCAAAAGCCAAAAAUAUUGUCGAUUUGUCCUGGCUAAGAUUUGAUAAUAAGAGAUUUGAGGGAAGUUUUCUUUUUUUAAAGAGCUCUGUGGUCAGUAAGCGACUUAUUAAAAGCUGAUAUUCAAGAGUAUUUCUUUUUUAAAAUAACUCUCUGCUUUUUCUAUUUUGUAUUCUGUUUAUGGGAAGUUUUUUCAGUGAAUCAAAACCUCUUUUAAAAAGUUAUAUGCUUGCUGCUUCCAUUUACUUCCUUUCUGUGGGUAUGAUUUUUGCUAAAGAAAAAAUAAAACUUCAUUGACCUUUUACAAAGCUUAAAAAUCUCCCCAAAUUGCCUCUUAUGAGAAAAUUUCUCCCAUUUACUUUACUCCUCCUCCUGCAGUGCUUAUCUUUGAUAACACAUGAAAGAAUCUGGAAGGGACUUGUAAUGAUCCUGAGACCUCUUGAGGAACACAGAAGAAGGCACCACAAUCCUCAUUUUGGGGUCUUCUGUCUUCCUUGUGCAGUCUCAAGAGCAUGAACAGGUUACUCUUAGGUCUAAAGCUCUGCUGUCUUUUACACGGAACUCUUUUAUAUCUUUGGCUUUUAGAAACACACAUGUGCACCUGUGUAUGUCAUAUGUUGUGUCUGCAUGUACAUAUAUGUUUGUACAUGUGUUUGUAUAUUGGCUACGUGGUAACACACUAACAUAAAUAAAUGAGUACUCAUAAAUUAACUAGCCCGCUUUUCAAGUUCAUGUGGCUUUAGUAGUUUUUGGUAAAUAAAGCUAAUUUUAAAAUUGUUGGCAAAAUAGAAAUGUCUUCAGAGUUUUAGAUAUUUUUGUCUGGGUCUACUCAUCAGACUAAUUUAUACUAUUUAUGAUAGAUGUUUUCAGGUCACAAAGCUGUUGCUUCUGUGAUAUUUUUGUGCUUGUUUGAUCUGUCUAUGAGUUUAUAUUUUUGGUUUUGAGGCUUUAAAUUCUAAGGUCUAGACAAUUGGCCAUGGUCAGGCACAGGGACACAUGUGUGUCCACAGUGCCUAUGCCUCAUCCUCCCUGGCCCAUCUAUGCUUCCUGGCCAUGCUGGGAGGGGUCAGAUCCUCCAGGCAUUGUCUUCACAGGUCUGUCUUUUGUCCUGGGCUCUGCAUCUGAUACAUACCAAUUAAAAUUGCUUUCUUUCUAUAUUUCUUAUUGUAAGUUAGGUUUACUAUGUAAUUUAAACAAGUAGAUAUAAGAGAAACACUUCUGUAUGCAAAGUAUAUAAAGAAAAUAGGAUGUGUUUUUGGUAAGGAAGGUUAUAAAGAAGGUGUGAGAAUAUGACUUUUGUUAAAGAAAAAGUAGUUUUGUUUAGUUUAAAGAUUUUUAAAUGUUGUUUUAAAUUGAAGAAAUAAAAAAUGAGAAUUGAUAAAACUAAAUGGAAAAAGAAUGUUGGGAAAAGAAAGAAUAGGAAAAAAUUUAAGAGGUUAUAAAAGGUUUAUCACAAUCUUAUGUGGCCAAAGCUGAAUGAGAUUAGAUAAAUCUAUUUAUAAGGUUUUAUUAAAAUUAGGUUUCAUAUUAAUAAUACAUUGAUACAAGGGUAAAGUUGAGAGGGAGGUAAAGAGAGAGGAAGAAAGUCUCAUAUUGUCUUUAUUAGGGCUUUUGACUAUUUGGAAAACUGAGUCUCCUUUCUCUCUAAGAGUAAAGGUUUUUGCUUUUUGAAAUUUUUGAAUUAUUACUUUGGCUAAAUUAAUUAAUCUUUUAUAGUGACCUGUGAUCCUAUUUUGAUUGAGUGUUUUAAGCGUCCCUUAUUUUGAUAUUAAGUGUUUUAAACCUUUGAUAUUUGACAAACUUCCCAAAAUCAAAUAACAAAUUUUAAAUCUAUCUUUUUGACCUUAAACAGAUUUUUGGAUGUUAGGACCCUUGGAAGUCCAAAUGAGAACCCUGAAAGUCUAAGGGAGACAUAUUAGGCUUCUUUCAUAUGUUAAAAUUAUACUGUCAUUAUUGUCAAAUAAGAAAUGGUGUUUAUUUGUAUGGAUGUUAUUAAUAUGUGUUCCAAAAUUGUAUGGAAUUCCUAGAAAUCUGAUAUGUCUUGGUAUAUUAAGUAAAUUGCCUUAUCCUGAUGUUUUUUCUUCUAAAAGCUCUUUGCGAAUUCUAACGUGUUUUACCUUCAAGAAAAUUCAUGGAAAGAUCCAUGAGAAGUACUCUUAAAUACAGGUUUCAAAUAACACUGGAUCAUAUAAUUGGGCUAAAUAAAAACUUCCAGAACUCUAAUAAAAUAAGCCUAAUUGAUUCAUGAAGAUUGCUAACUCAACAUUAAGAAGAACAAGAAUUAAUUACACAGGACUGAACUGAUGGCAGUCAUAAAUGAUUUUUAAUGACUUUUUGUUUGAAACAUUGCGGAUUCUUUUUAUGUUUUCUUUUCCAGAGUCAAGAUUUUUUUUUCUUUUGAGUUAUGUGUAGCUUUCAGCAAUUGGGUAAAGUAUACUUUUGUGAGCAAAAUUGAAACAUUUACCUUUCCCUCUACCUGAUUUCUCCAGAAUUUGGAAACUGUUUAUGAGUAUUCUUAUCUUAUGGCAAUAUAAUUAUUUGCAUAAGUUAGAUAAGAAUAUGUUUUAUUUUGCAACAGGACACAAUCAGAAAUGCUGCUUAUUUUAUCAAGGUUUUGACUGGAAUGACAUAUUUUCAGAUAUGUCCAGACUGCUUUGAAGAAUUGAGGUUGACUUUAUUGAACUGAUGAAAAGCCCUUUGGAAAGGCUGACCUGGUACUUUAUCUACAUGGUUCCUUUUCAAUGUUUCUGACCUUGUGAUAUUAAUUAACGAAGAACAUAUUGCGUGCCAGGAAAUACUCUACAUGUUGGAGACAUAUCAAAAAGUCCAUAUAUUCUGGGAAUGCUUUACUAGCACUAUUGCAUUUUAUUAUACAAUCACCUUUGUUAGGAGCUGAAUUGUGUCUCCCUAACCCAUUAAUAUGCUGAAGUCCUAACCCCUACUACCUCAGAAUGUCACUAUACUUGAAAAUAGGAUUUUUGAGGGGGUGAUUAUGGUUAAAUGAGGUCAUAGGAACACCAAUCCAAUAUGACUGGUGUUGUUAUAAGGAGAGGAGAGAUGAGGCCACCGAACACGCAGAGGGAAGACCAUGUAAAGAAGACUCAGAGAGAAGACAGCUGUCUACCAGCUGGGAGGGAGGCCUCAGGAGGAACUAACCUGUGAACACUUUGGUCUUGGCCUUCUAUCUUUCAGAACUGUGAGAAAAUAAAUUUGUUGUUUACACCACCCACU